RNAcentral lists this transfer RNA (130 nucleotides) under Paracoccaceae bacterium Fryx2. RNAcentral's name for it is "tRNA-Met". Lineage: Bacteria; Pseudomonadati; Pseudomonadota; Alphaproteobacteria; Rhodobacterales; Paracoccaceae. The record is from RNAcentral.
UGCGGGGUCGGUAACUUUGCGAAAUCAAAGGCUUGCGGGCUAAGUGAUUGAUUUUCAUAACUUAUUGGAAUCGUUAAAUUAUAGGCUCAUAACCUGAAGGUCGUCAGUUCAAAUCUGACUCCCGCAACCA